UCAUUACUGAAGCAGUUAGGGUUGUAGCUGACUCUGUCAAAGGAGUACUGUGCUCGCUCUAUUCUUCUACUUUUCCCCCUGUGCACCUUUUGUAGGCUAUGAUAUCCAUCGUGUGUGAGUUCACGCUCAUUACCGGUUCAAGGGAUUGCUGGUUUACUCCGGCUGCUCUUGCCCUUCAUAUGCCUAUGUCUUUAUACACUCUUUACAAGUCUAGAAUGUCUUUUGUGGGUCUAUCGACCUAUAAACUUAAUACAACUUUCAACAACGGAUCUCUUGGCUCUCGCAUCGAUGAAGAACGCAGCGAAAUGCGAUAAGUAAUGUGAAUUGCAGAAUUCAGUGAAUCAUCGAAUCUUUGAACGCACCUUGCGCCCUUUGGUAUUCCGAAGGGCAUGCCUGUUUGAGUGUCAUUAAAUUCUCAAACCUUGAUCAGUUUUGCGACUGACUUCAAGGCUUUGGAUGUGGGAGUCUGCUGGAACUCUUUUGGUUCAGCUCUCCUCAAAUGCAUUAGCGGUUACUUGAUCCCCUUUCCUUGGUGUGAUAAUUAUCUACGCCUUUGAAAUGAUCAGCAUUGUAUCAGCUUCUAAUCGUCCAUUGACUUGGACAAUUACUUAAUUGACUAUUUGACCUC
Molecule: ribosomal RNA, 628 nt
Filed under: uncultured fungus from ectomycorrhizal root
Lineage: Eukaryota; Fungi
Description: eukaryotic LSU rRNA
Rfam family: 5.8S ribosomal RNA (bases 254-407)
Source: RNAcentral